UACGGGGGGGGCAAGCGUUGUUCGGAAUUACUGGGCGUAAAGGGCUCGUAGGCGGCCAACUAAGUCAGACGUGAAAUCCCUCGGCUUAACCGGGGAACUGCGUCUGAUACUGGAUGGCUUGAGUUUGGGAGAGGGAUGCGGAAUUCCAGGUGUAGCGGUGAAAUGCGUAGAGAUCGGGAAGAACAUCGGUGGCGAAAGCGCUCUACUGGACCGCAACUGACACUCAGGGACGAAAGCUAGGGGAGCAAACAGG
RNAcentral lists this ribosomal RNA (253 nucleotides) under uncultured bacterium. RNAcentral's name for it is "partial 16S ribosomal RNA". It matches the Rfam family "Bacterial small subunit ribosomal RNA", at positions 524 to 776 of the family's 1533-position model. The record is from RNAcentral.